RNAcentral lists this ribosomal RNA (493 nucleotides) under uncultured bacterium. RNAcentral describes it as "partial 16S ribosomal RNA". It matches the Rfam family "Bacterial small subunit ribosomal RNA", at positions 29 to 507 of the family's 1533-position model. The record is from RNAcentral.
ACGAACGCUGGCGGCGUGCUUAACACAUGCAAGUCGAACGGUGAAGCGCCUUCCUUUUUGGUGGGUGUGGAUGAGUGGCGAACGGGUGAGUAACACGUGAGUAACCUGCCCCCUUCUUCUGGAUAACCGCAUGAAAGUGUGGCUAAUACGGGAUAUUCUGGGUCUGUCGCAUGAUGGGUCUGGGAAAGAUAUUGUUUCGGUGGGGGAUGGGCUCGCGGCCUAUCAGCUUGUUGGUGGGGUGAUGGCCUACCAAGGCGGUGACGGGUAGCCGGCCUGAGAGGGUGGACGGUCACACUGGGACUGAGACACGGCCGAGACUCCUACGGGAGGCAGCAGUGGGGAAUAUUGCACAAUGGGCGCAAGCCUGAUGCAGCGACGCCGCGUGAGGGAUGGAGGCCUUCGGGUUGUGAACCUCUUUCGCCAGUGAAGCAGGCCUGCCUCGUUUGUGGGUGGGUUGACGGUAGCUGGAUAAGAAGCGCCGGCUAACUACGUG